CUGGAACUAGAUAACUAAAUAGUUCUAAAAAAAUAACAUACACAUAACAUAAAUAAUGGAAUUGCAAUUAGCCUAAUUCCAACUCCCACUAAUCCAAUUCAAAACCCUUCAGCCUUAUCGACGGGAACCUCUUCCUCACAGGACGGUCAGCGGGUACACUCCUGCCAACGUCAACCUCGACCUCCUCCUCAGCAACAUCGGAAUGGUCCUGCUCCAGUUGGUGAUAGAUAUAUAUCCUUCAGCAUGGUCUCUUCCUCCAACAGGGCUCUAUCAUGUUUUUCAUCUGAAAUUUGUCCCCGAAAUCCUAUAUAGUCAUUGACAUGACUGUCGGAUUUAUCAGAAGUAACCUUGGAGGCGGAGAAGAAGGAUGAAUCCAUGAAAAUUGGAUGAGAAAUAGAAAACAAACAGAGAGAGGUUUUCCAAAAUUGAUCAUUAUCUUGAUUUAUUGAUUGUAUAUAUACGACGCA
Molecule: long non-coding RNA, 467 nt
Filed under: Zostera marina
Lineage: Eukaryota; Viridiplantae; Streptophyta; Magnoliopsida; Alismatales; Zosteraceae
Description: long non-coding RNA (ZMAR_LNC001475)
Source: RNAcentral